UUUAUAAUUUUGUGCACCGUUUAAGAAGAAUUGGUCCAAAGAUAAAUAAGGGGCCCAGAUCUUUCCUUUGGUAUUUAUUUUUUCACUUUGCAGUAGCUCACAUAGCACUAAUGGGAAAGAAUAUGAGAAGAGCACAAAAAGAGAGAAUAGUCAUGCUCUAGAGGCUUUGGAGUCAGUUACAUGACUUUGGCAGAAACUCUGCAACUUGUAUGACUUUAGGAUGGAUGGAGUUACUUGAACUACUGUGCUCAGGCUGAAACAACUGCUGAGUUCCACCAGGGGCUGCUGUUGAACUUCUAAAAAAGAUCAUAUUUUGGAGGAGAAGGUAGUAAAAUGAAUCAAUAAAAGGAAGAAGGUAAUGGAAAAUACCAUAGGAGCCACUCAACAUGGUGGGGACAAGGGAUCAGAACAUCCCGCGGUUUAAAUCUCUCUCAUUUGUGAGGACCCUCACUGGAUGGUCAGCAUCCUUUCAUUCAUACCCUGACACCACCUGCUGAGCCACUAGAACAACCCGCAUCUCUAUAAUGUGGCUGAGGCUCUCCUUUAACCCCGGGCCAUGGGAGAAAAGAAAUUUUGAAAAUGAACGACCGAAUGGACCUGGCCCAGGGACACCUAGCUGAGACUGUCUCUGGGAAGAAUGACAUGCCUUCAGCAUGAAGAAACUAUAAGAAAAAGACAUGUAAUUAACCG
Ictidomys tridecemlineatus (thirteen-lined ground squirrel) is the source of this 690-nucleotide non-coding RNA. NCBI's taxonomy places the organism in Eukaryota, Metazoa, Chordata, Mammalia, Rodentia, Sciuridae. The record is from RefSeq and is a predicted model, not a curated record.